Molecule: ribosomal RNA, 449 nt
Filed under: uncultured bacterium
Lineage: Bacteria
Description: partial 16S ribosomal RNA
Rfam family: Bacterial small subunit ribosomal RNA
Source: RNAcentral
UCCAGACUCCUACGGGAGGCAGCAGUGGGGAAUAUUGGGCAAUGGAGGAAACUCUUACCCAGCAAUGCCGCGUGAAUGAAGAAGGUCUUCGGAUUGUAAAGUUCUUUAAUUGGGGACGAAAAAAAUGACGGUACCCAAGGAAUAAGCCCCGGCUAACUACGUGCCAGCAGCCGCGGUAAUACGUAGGGGGCAAGCGUUAUCCGGAUUUACUGGGUGUAAAGGGAGCGUAGGCGGUUAGAUAAGUCUGAUGUGAAAGCCCACAGCUUAACUGUGGGAUUGCAUUGGAAACUAUAGAACUAGAGUGUCGGAGAGGUAAGUGGAAUUCCUAGUGUAGCGGUGAAAUGCGUAGAUAUUAGGAGGAGCACCAGUGGCGAAGGCGGCUUACUGGACGAUGACUGACGCUGAGGCUCGAAAGCGUGGGGAGCAAACAGGAUUAGAUACACCUGUAU